Molecule: ribosomal RNA, 422 nt
Filed under: uncultured bacterium
Lineage: Bacteria
Description: bacterial SSU rRNA
Rfam family: Bacterial small subunit ribosomal RNA
Source: RNAcentral
UAAGGAAUAUUGGUCAAUGGACGCAAGUCUGAACCAGCCAUGCCGCGUGGAGGAUGAAGGUCCUCUGGAUUGUAAACUUCUUUUAUCUGGGACGAAACACUUCUUUUCUAAGAGGCCUGACGGUACCAGAUGAAUAAGCACCGGCUAACUCCGUGCCAGCAGCCGCGGUAAUACGGAGGGUGCAAGCGUUAUCCGGAUUCACUGGGUUUAAAGGGUGCGUAGGUGGGUAUGUAAGUCAGUGGUGAAAUCCCCGAGCUUAACUUGGGAACUGCCGUUGAUACUAUAUAUCUUGAAUGCCGUAGAGGUAAGCGGAAUAUGUCAUGUAGCGGUGAAAUGCUUAGAUAUGACAUAGAACACCAAUUGCGAAGGCAGCUUACUAUGCGGUUAUUGACACUGAGGCACGAAAGCGUGGGUAGCAAACA